UACGGAGGGUGCAAGCGUUAUCCGGAUUCACUGGGUUUAAAGGGUGCGUAGGUGGGCAGUUAAGUCAGUGGUGAAAUCUCCGGGCUUAACCCGGAACUGCCAUUGAUACUAUCUGUCUUGAAUAUCGUGGAGGUAAGCGGAAUAUGUCAUGUAGCGGUGAAAUGCUUAGAUAUGACAUAGAACACCAAUUGCGAAGGCAGCUUACUACCCGAAUAUUGACACUGAGGCACGAAAGCGUGGGGAUCAAACAGG
RNAcentral lists this ribosomal RNA (252 nucleotides) under uncultured bacterium. RNAcentral's name for it is "partial 16S ribosomal RNA". It matches the Rfam family "Bacterial small subunit ribosomal RNA", at positions 524 to 776 of the family's 1533-position model. The record is from RNAcentral.